CUCCCGAGCACCAAGAAGGAAACCAAACGUCCUGCUAUUUCCACAGAGCAGCACGGGCGUGCAGAGCUGAAAACGGAGAAGCUGUGUUUUUUCAGACUGUUGGACGUUAAAGGUUGCAGAGCCCUUGGGGAUGGCGGGAGGCGGGGAGAGGGCACAGCAGGCGGCGUCAAUUUUGCUCAGAACAGGAAAGGGCCGGUGUGAUGGCCAGGCCGGGAAUGGAAGCGUAAGAACGUCUAUUUCCUCUUCAGGGCAAUCAUCACAGGGAGCCAGCUGUGAGCGGCUUCUUUCGAGGACACUGGAGAGGCGUGCGUUGGAGCAGAGCCUUUGGGGCGCUGGCUGCAAGGAGACAGAGUUCAGGUGAGGCUCGAGCGCUGAAGUGGAGGAGCGGCUGACGCGAGCGUUGCAGGUGGACGCGGACGGUGAUGUGCCCAGACGGCCCUGCCCCGCCCGGGAGGGAGGGACCAGGUCCGCAGAGCGGGUGGUGGGCACAGCCGCGUUCUCAACAGAAGGCAGCGUGAUUACGCGGGGGCCCCUUUGAAAUAAGAAGGGUUUUUAACAAUUACUCUCUGAAGCAACUUUGUUUUCAGAAAAGAAGGCAGAGAAAAAUAAACACCU
Molecule: non-coding RNA, 615 nt
Organism: Sus scrofa (pig)
Lineage: Eukaryota; Metazoa; Chordata; Mammalia; Artiodactyla; Suidae
Source: RefSeq, a predicted model, not a curated record